This 488-nucleotide ribosomal RNA is filed under the name uncultured bacterium. Its description in RNAcentral is "partial 16S ribosomal RNA". It matches the Rfam family "Bacterial small subunit ribosomal RNA", at positions 28 to 507 of the family's 1533-position model. The record is from RNAcentral.
GAUGAACGCUAGCGGCAGGCCUAAUACAUGCAAGUCGGACGGGAUCCAUUGAUAGCUUGCUAUCAAUGGUGAGAGUGGCGCACGGGUGCGUAACGCGUGAGCAACCUGCCUCCAUCAGGGGGAUAGCCUCUCGAAAGAGAGAUUAACACCGCAUAAUAUCAACAGUUCGCAUGUUCAGUUGAUUAAAUAUUUAUAGGAUGGAGAUGGGCUCGCGUGACAUUAGCUAGUUGGUAGGGUAACGGCUUACCAAGGCGACGAUGUCUAGGGGCUCUGAGAGGAGAAUCCCCCACACUGGUACUGAGACACGGACCAGACUCCUACGGGAGGCAGCAGUAAGGAAUAUUGGUCAAUGGGCGGAAGCCUGAACCAGCCAUGCCGCGUGCAGGAUGACUGCACUAUGGGUUGUAAACUGCUUUUGUCCAGGAAUAAACCUAAAUACGAGUAUUUAGCUGAAUGUACUGGAAGAAUAAGGAUCGGCUAACUCCGUG